GAUGAACGCUGGCGGCGUGCCUAAUACAUGCAAGUCGAGCGAACGGGCGAGAAGCUUGCUUCUCUGAUGUUAGCGGCGGACGGGUGAGUAACACGUGGAUAACCUACCUAUAAGACUGGGAUAACUUCGGGAAACCGUAGCUAAUACCGGAUAAUAUUUUGAACCGCAUGGUUCAAAAGUGAAAGACGGUCUCGCUGUCACUUAUAGAUGGAUCCGCGCUGCAUUAGCUAGUUGGUAAGGUAACGGCUUACCAAGGCAACGAUGCAUGGCCGACCUGAGAGGGUGAUCGGCCACACUGGAACUGAGACACGGUCCAGACUCCUACGGGAGGCAGCAGUAGGGAAUCUUCCGCAAUGGGCGAAAGCCUGACGGAGCAACGCCGCGUGAGUGAUGAAGGUCUUCGGAUCGUAAAACUCUGUUAUUAGGGAAGAACAUAUGUGUAAGUAACUGUGCACAUCUUGACGGUACCUAAUCAGAAAGCCACGGCUAACUACGUG
RNAcentral lists this ribosomal RNA (497 nucleotides) under uncultured bacterium. RNAcentral's name for it is "partial 16S ribosomal RNA". It matches the Rfam family "Bacterial small subunit ribosomal RNA", at positions 28 to 507 of the family's 1533-position model. The record is from RNAcentral.